This 263-nucleotide long non-coding RNA is filed under the name Elaeis guineensis (African oil palm). Its description in RNAcentral is "long non-coding RNA (EGUI_LNC040943)". The record is from RNAcentral. Lineage: Eukaryota; Viridiplantae; Streptophyta; Magnoliopsida; Arecales; Arecaceae.
UCCUCUUUUUGGCCCUACCCAUUCUUCUUAUGUUUCAAAAAAGAAUGGUCAUUGGUAUCGGAUAUAUAAUAGAAGUUGAUAAGAAUAAGCAAGGGCAAUAUCAGUGCAGGAUUCUGUCAGAAGGGAAAGAUCUCUUUUAUUAGAGAUGCUUAACAGCUGAAGACAAAAAGCAAAACAAAAGAGUGUCCUUAGUUUUGAGGUGUAGGAUUCUUAUCGAAGAGAGUACAUGACAGGCAGUAAAAACACAAAAAGGUCAAUUAAAG